Molecule: long non-coding RNA, 480 nt
Organism: Sciurus carolinensis (gray squirrel)
Lineage: Eukaryota; Metazoa; Chordata; Mammalia; Rodentia; Sciuridae
Exons: 3
Source: RefSeq, a predicted model, not a curated record
GCAAACCAGGAAAUUAACAUUCUGUCCCAAAUAUGAAGACAUGGGGUUUGAAAUAAUUCCUAUAGUGCUUGACAGGAUACAUAUGUUCCUGCAUAAAAUAUAAAGGCCCACACACCAGCAAUUAAAUGUUUCAAAUAAUGGCUGUAUUCACCUAAACUCAUGCUUAAUUUAAAAUUAUCAUUGGGAAAAUAAAAUUUUAGAAUUAUAGUUACUGUUCCUUUUUAUUUGGAUAAAUUUUCUUUAACAUUAAUAUUAUAAGGUAGUUUAAGUAAAUCUGUGCAUGUUUCAGGAGGGUCACACUUGGACAUUUCAGCAGCGGAAGUGGAGGAGAGAUUCCAUGGAACUGGAUUUAGUCAGCAACAGUGUGACUCUGAGCAACAUGCAGAGGUGUGUGCUUUUUGUGGACAUGCAGAAGAUAUGGGACCACACACUUCACAUAAAAGAGCAACAAGAAACUUGAUGGUAGUGAAACGAGGCGAC